GGGGGCGAAACGGAUUCGACGGGGAUAUGCAAGCUCAUCGUUGCAUGCCGAGCUUCUGUCUGCUCGUAAAACGACGGAAUUUAAUUAUAAUCGCCGACGAUUAUAACUACGCAGUAGCAGCUUAACCUGCUCUGCCGUUCCCCCGGUGCUCACCCGCUGUGCCGGUACGGAGCGUCGACUCCGCGGGUUGGUCGUCCGGGCGCGCCUGUCGCCCGGUUGACGAGAUAAAGCAGGCUAGCGUCAGGCUAUCCUGGUUCCAUGAGAGUCCCUGACGCGAAACCCAAUCAAGGAACUACGCAUGUAGAUACGUGAGGGGAGUAUUUCCGGACGCGGGUUCGACUCCCGCCGCCUCCACCA
This 357-nucleotide transfer-messenger RNA is filed under the name Desulforudis sp. Its description in RNAcentral is "Candidatus Desulforudis sp. transfer-messenger RNA". It matches the Rfam family "transfer-messenger RNA". From Rfam's summary of the family: Bacterial tmRNA, also known as 10Sa RNA or SsrA, is named for its dual tRNA and mRNA-like properties. Its role is to liberate the mRNA from a stalled ribosome. Lineage: Bacteria; Bacillati; Bacillota; Clostridia; Thermoanaerobacterales; Desulforudaceae. The record is from RNAcentral. RNAcentral also lists the same sequence under 1 other name.